RNAcentral lists this ribosomal RNA (488 nucleotides) under uncultured bacterium. Its description in RNAcentral is "partial 16S ribosomal RNA". It matches the Rfam family "Bacterial small subunit ribosomal RNA", at positions 28 to 523 of the family's 1533-position model. The record is from RNAcentral.
GAUUAACGUUGGCAGUGUGCCUAAUACAUGCAAGUCGAGCGGCAGCACGGUCUUCGGACUGGUGGCGAGCGGCGGACGGCUGAGUAACGCGUGGGAACGUGCCCCAAAGUGAGGGAUAACUCCGGGAAACCGGAGCUAAUACCGCAUAUGAUCUUCGGAUUAAAGUAUUUAUACGCUUUGGGAGCGGCCUGCGUACGAUUAGAUUGUUGGUGAGGUAAAGGCUCACCAAGUCGACGAUCGUUAGCUGGUCUGAGAGGAUGAUCAGCCAGACUGGGGCUGAGACACGGCCCAGACUCCUACGGGAGGCAGCAGUGGGGAAUUUUGGACAAUGGGCGCAAGCCUGAUCCAGCCAUGCCGCGUGCAGGAUGAAGGCCUUCGGGUUGUAAACUGCUUUUGUACGGAACGAAAAGGUUUGGCCUAAUACGCUGAACUCAUGACGGUACCGUAAGAAUAAGCACCGGCUAACUACGUGCCAGCCGCCGCCGUAA